RNAcentral lists this transfer RNA (83 nucleotides) under Lachnospiraceae bacterium. Its description in RNAcentral is "tRNA-Leu". It matches the Rfam family "tRNA". From Rfam's summary of the family: Transfer RNA (tRNA) molecules are approximately 80 nucleotides in length. The record is from RNAcentral. Lineage: Bacteria; Bacillati; Bacillota; Clostridia; Lachnospirales; Lachnospiraceae.
GCCGGCGUGGCGGAAUGGCAGACGCGGCAGACUCAAAAUCUGUUGAUGGCAACAUCGUAUGGGUUCAAGUCCCAUCGCCGGCA